Non-coding RNA from Mycena latifolia, 95 nucleotides. Lineage: Eukaryota; Fungi; Basidiomycota; Agaricomycetes; Agaricales; Mycenaceae. The record is from the annotation of a GenBank genome assembly.
GUCUUGGUGGCGUAAUGGUAACGCACUCCGUGAUGAUCUAAUGCAUUUUUAUAUCGAUUAACAGAAAGUCCGGAGUUCGAUUCUCCGUCAAGCCA